GACAUGGAGACUGAAAAACUCUCACCUCUGGAGAUGGUCUCACCAGCUCAAGACUCUCCUAAGCAGAAAAUGGACCCAAUAAUGUUCCAGUUCAGAACUUUGACACCCACACUGUUCAAGUGGGUUUGAAACGUGGCAAAAUAAAAUCCACCUGCCUUGAUUAUAA
Long non-coding RNA from Mauremys reevesii (Reeves's turtle), 166 nucleotides. RefSeq lists it as uncharacterized. The record is from RefSeq and is a predicted model, not a curated record. Lineage: Eukaryota; Metazoa; Chordata; Testudines; Geoemydidae. The transcript has 2 exons.